AAAGACAACAAUUUUCUACUAAGCAUUCAUGAGAUCCAAGAUUGCAUACAGUUCAAUAACCAACAUCUACCGAAAGGCACAAAUACCCGAAACAACUUCACUUACUCCUCUUCUACAAAACAGUGUCAUAUGUCAAGCUCUUUAAACUAAAUCCAUUCAGAGAAAUCCUAAAAAUAACAUAGUGCUUAUUAAAACAAAGAUAAAGAUUAAAACUUUCAGCGAAGAUAAGCUGGGAUCUUGAUACGGAUAAACAACAUACUCAUAACAUAAGCAAUAACAACAAACACAAUCCCAGCUGAUGCAAAAGAAACCUUGACACUCUUUUCUCGGUUUUUAUCAGUUGCCAAAUCCAAAAGCACAAUCCCAAUACCACCUAGUACAAACAUGAAUCCAGAAGAGAGUCCUUCAAUAAUAUACUGACCAUUAACUCGACCCGGAAGAAACACCACCGGUUUAACAGCUCCGGUGAACCGGUCUUGGGUUGAUCCAAUUCCCGGCGGUUCAACAAUGACGUCAUAAACGAUGCCAGAGACGACCAUAAAGUAGGUAAGAAGGAUAAGACUGAAAACUGUCAUGGCGGAGGGAAGAGUCACCGAUGGGAUUUUCAGACGGAGCUUUGGAGGGCGGAGGAAGGAGAAUGGGAGGAUACGGAGGAUGUGGAAAAUUGGGUCGAUGGAGUAGUCAUCAGACGGAUCGGAAAAUUGGGUUUUGGCGGU
RNAcentral lists this unclassified non-coding RNA (716 nucleotides) under Hevea brasiliensis (rubber tree). The record is from RNAcentral. Lineage: Eukaryota; Viridiplantae; Streptophyta; Magnoliopsida; Malpighiales; Euphorbiaceae.